Molecule: long non-coding RNA, 231 nt
Filed under: Micromonas commoda
Lineage: Eukaryota; Viridiplantae; Chlorophyta; Mamiellophyceae; Mamiellales; Mamiellaceae
Description: long non-coding RNA (MCOM_LNC000291)
Source: RNAcentral
GCGCCCCGCCGCGGCGCCCGCUCCGCUGACCUCGCCGUCCGCGCAAUGGCGGACGAGGAGAAGGAUGACAAGGGCGCCGGCGUCAAGCAGCUCCUCGGCAUCCGCGGCGGCGAGCGCACCGACGACAUCUGGAAGAUCCGCCUGCAGCUCACCAAGCCCGUGACCUGGGUGCCGCUCAUCUGGGGCGUCAUGUGCGGCGCCGCCGCGUCCGGCCACUACACCUGGACCCCG